UACGAAGGGUGCAAGCGUUACUCGGAAUUACUGGGCGUAAAGCGUGCGUAGGUGGUUUGUUAAGUCUGAUGUGAAAGCCCUGGGCUCAACCUGGGAACGGCAUUGGAAACUGGCUUACUAGAGUGCGGUAGAGGGGUGUGGAAUUCCCGGUGUAGCAGUGAAAUGCGUAGAUAUGGGGAGGAACAUCUGUGGCGAAGGCGACACCCUGGACCAGCACUGACACUGAGGCACGAAAGCGUGGGGAGCAAACAGG
Molecule: ribosomal RNA, 253 nt
Filed under: uncultured bacterium
Lineage: Bacteria
Description: partial 16S ribosomal RNA
Rfam family: Bacterial small subunit ribosomal RNA
Source: RNAcentral